CCCUUAGACGUUCUGGGCCGCACGCGCGCUACACUGACGAAGGCAACGAGCUUUCCUUUACCGAAAGGUACGGGUAAUCUUUUGAAACUUCGUCGUGCUGGGGAUAGAUCCUUGCAAUUAUUGAUCUUAAACGAGGAAUUCCUAGUAGGCGCAAGUCAUCAACUUGCGUUGAUUACGUCCCUGCCCUUUGUACACACCGCCCGUCGCUACUACCGAUUGAAUGGUUUAGUGAGGCCUUCGGAUCCGCGACUCGUUUUGUGGAGAAGUUGGACAAACUCAGUCAUUUAGAGGAAGUAAAAGUCGUAACA
This 308-nucleotide ribosomal RNA is filed under the name uncultured eukaryote. RNAcentral's name for it is "partial 18S ribosomal RNA". It matches the Rfam family "Eukaryotic small subunit ribosomal RNA", at positions 1470 to 1796 of the family's 1831-position model. The record is from RNAcentral.